Molecule: ribosomal RNA, 253 nt
Filed under: uncultured bacterium
Lineage: Bacteria
Description: partial 16S ribosomal RNA
Rfam family: Bacterial small subunit ribosomal RNA
Source: RNAcentral
UACGUAGGGGGCAAGCGUUGUCCGGAAUCAUUGGGCGUAAAGAGCGUGUAGGCGGUCCGGCAAGUCGGUUGUGAAAGUCCAGGGCUCAACCCUGGGAUGCCGAUCGAUACUGUGGGACUAGAGUUCGGAAGAGGCGAGUGGAAUUCCCGGUGUAGCGGUGAAAUGCGCAGAUAUCGGGAGGAACACCAAUGGCGAAGGCAGCUCGCUGGGACGUUACUGACGCUGAGACGCGAAAGCGUGGGGAGCAAACAGG